CGGGUGAACCUGCGGAAGGAUCAUUAAAGAGUAAGGGUGCUCAGCGCCCGACCUCCAACCCUUUGUUGUUAAAACUACCUUGUUGCUUUGGCGGGACCGCUCGGUCUCGAGCCGCUGGGGAUUCGUCCCAGGCGAGCGCCCGCCAGAGUUAAACCAAACUCUUGUUAUUUAACCGGUCGUCUGAGUUAAAAUUUUGAAUAAAUCAAAACUUUCAACAACGGAUCUCUUGGUUCUCGCAUCGAUGAAGAACGCAGCGAAAUGCGAUAAGUAAUGUGAAUUGCAGAAUUCAGUGAAUCAUCGAAUCUUUGAACGCACAUUGCGCCCCUUGGUAUUCCGAGGGGCAUGCCUGUUCGAGCGUCAUUACACCACUCAAGCUAUGCUUGGUAUUGGGCGUCGUCCUUAGUUGGGCGCGCCUUAAAGACCUCGGCGAGGCCACUCCGGCUUUAGGCGUAGUAGAAUUUAUUCGAACGUCUGUCAAAGGAGAGGAACUCUGCCGACUGAAACCUUUAUUUUUCUAGGUUGACCUCGGAUCAGGUAGGGAUACCCGCUGAACUUAAGCAUAUCAAUAAGCGGGAGAAAA
This 580-nucleotide ribosomal RNA is filed under the name Aureobasidium pullulans. RNAcentral's name for it is "eukaryotic LSU rRNA". The stretch from base 207 to 360 matches the Rfam family "5.8S ribosomal RNA". The record is from RNAcentral. Lineage: Eukaryota; Fungi; Ascomycota; Dothideomycetes; Dothideales; Saccotheciaceae.